GUCUACGGCCAUGCCACCCUGAACGUGCCCGAUCUCAUCUGAUCUCGGAAGCCAAGCAGGGUCAGGCCUGGUGAGUACUUGGAUGGGAGACCACCUAGGAAGACCAGGUGCUGUAGGUG
RNAcentral lists this ribosomal RNA (119 nucleotides) under Pteropus alecto (black flying fox). Lineage: Eukaryota; Metazoa; Chordata; Mammalia; Chiroptera; Pteropodidae. The record is from RNAcentral.